This 22-nucleotide non-coding RNA is filed under the name Arabidopsis thaliana (thale cress). Lineage: Eukaryota; Viridiplantae; Streptophyta; Magnoliopsida; Brassicales; Brassicaceae. The record is from RNAcentral.
GGACAAGGGGAAUCCGACUGUU